UCGGGAAUUUUGGGCAAUGGGCGAAAGCCUGACCCAGCAACGCCGCGUGAAGGAUGAAGUAUUUCGGUAUGUAAACUUCGUAAGAAUAGGAAGAAUAAAUGACGGUACUAUUUGUAAGGUCCGGCUAACUACGUGCCAGCAGCCGCGGUAAUACGUAGGGACCAAGCGUUGUUCGGAUUUACUGGGCGUAAAGGGCGCGUAGGCGGUGUGUCAAGUCAGUUGUGAAAUCUCCGAGCUUAACUCGGAACGGUCAACUGAUACUGUCACACUAGAGUACAGAAGGGGCAAUCGGAAUUCUUGGUGUAGCGGUGAAAUGCGUAGAUAUCAAGAGGAACACCUGAGGCGAAGGCGGGUUGCUGGGCUGAUACUGACGCUGAGGCGCGAAAGCUAGGGUAGCAAACGGGAUUAGAUACCCUUGUAGUCCCUGAGCGGGCUGGCAAGGCGCAU
This 447-nucleotide ribosomal RNA is filed under the name uncultured bacterium. RNAcentral's name for it is "bacterial SSU rRNA". It matches the Rfam family "Bacterial small subunit ribosomal RNA", at positions 355 to 825 of the family's 1533-position model. The record is from RNAcentral.